AUGAGGAGGUCCCCAAAUGAUGCGAAGCAUCAUUUUUAUGCAUGGGACCGACGAACUGCCUCCGAAGCUUUAGCUGAGGCGGCGAUACCAUAA
RNAcentral lists this small RNA (93 nucleotides) under unclassified sequences. RNAcentral describes it as "GA-cis RNA". It matches the Rfam family "GA-cis RNA". The record is from Rfam by way of RNAcentral.